Molecule: long non-coding RNA, 1427 nt
Organism: Bombus terrestris (buff-tailed bumblebee)
Lineage: Eukaryota; Metazoa; Arthropoda; Insecta; Hymenoptera; Apidae
Exons: 2
Source: RefSeq, a predicted model, not a curated record
GUGUUUUUAUGUAUCACACAAAACGACAUUAGGAUAUCAGCCUUGUUAAAUCGAUGAGGGUAAAGUUGAAUAGUGAAAGCCAAUGCAUAUCGUGAUUAAACGUUAUCUCGAUAAAAAAAUAGAAUCGCCAUUUCUCACGCUAUGCUCCUUCGUUUUCGAUCAAUUACAAUCAUUCCCUAAGUUUCGUGCUAUUUGUCCUGGACGUCGAAAGAAAAAACAAAAGGCGAACGCCCGACUUUGUGAAAUCGUAAGGUGAAUACGUACAAGGUACGAACCGAUAAAGCAUAGUAUAAGAUUACUAACCGUAUCUGCUGCAGUGAGGUUUAUUCCCAGGCCUCCGGCUCGAGUACUCAGCAGAAAGACGAAUAUGUCCGCCCUGAAACACGAAACAGUCCAUGUAGAUCGAACAGUCGAGUACGAUACGUUUUGCAUGUAAAUUAAUUCGGUACGCUGGUGGUGCACUUAGAGGAUUUCCAGUAUAAAAUAUAUAAGCUGAAUAUAUUUUAUCGCUUUCAAGAUUUCCAUGAUCCGAUUGUAAUUUUGAUAAUCGAAAACAUAGAUAAUGACAUGGCUAAAAUGGCAUUCAUGGCGGACAGCCAAAGCUGCAGCUGUCUACGAGACAGGACCGAUUCGCCAAUUAAUUCGCGUGUUAGUUAUGCGCGAGUGAACAAAGGAAUGACAUGCUAAGAGGCAGCGCCUUAUACAUGCAACAUGAUGCGUAGUUGAUAUAUAUUUUAAGCAGCACUAAGAAAAAAUUCAUUCGGUUUAUUAAUGAUAUAUUCUCAUUAAAUUAAUAGACGAAGCUCGUUUCGAUCAAUAGAUAUUACAACUUUUAACCGGCAUAAAAUUAUAUACGAAAUAUUUACGAAUUUGCAUAAAAUAAUCUAAAAUUCUAUGUUAUCCAAAAAUUAAGAAAGAAAUAUAACAGUUACCUUUUUUGAAAGUCUGCAACCAUAUCUCGUCGAUCUGAGAUUUUAGAAGAACCGUCUAAUCUCAUAAAAGUAUGUUUCCUAUGAUACAUGUACUCCUACAAUGAGGACGUGAUAUAAAAUCUUAUAAUGACUAUUUCUUCGAAGAUACAGAUUAAGUAAAAAUACCUCUAACAAAUCGAUCAUUUUUGUCAUUUGAGAGUAAAUAAGGACUCGAUGACCUUGUUCUUUAAGACGACGUAGGAGACUAUCCAAAACGGAAAGUUUUCCAGCAUCUGUUACUAAAGUUUGCUUAUCUAUAACAAUAUUAAAAAUAAAAAGAAUGUUGCAUUAAAAUGCAUAUGAAAAAUCAUCUACUACAAACCAAAAAAAGUUCUUACCCGGUACUAUAAUAUUUGACCAUCCAUUUAUAGGAGUACAUGCAGAAAUUCCACCAUGCGGUUCUACAGAAAAUGUUGACGUCAUCUGCGUUAAACGAAAAUUCGAGUUCUCUUGUGA